GCUGGGUGCAGUGGUCCAUACCUGUAAUCCUAGUGCUUGGGAGGCUGAGGCAGGGGGAUUGCCAGUUUAAAGUUACCCUCAGCAACUUAAUGAGGCACUAAGCAACUUAGCAAGACCCUGUCUCAA
Molecule: small RNA, 126 nt
Filed under: Marmota monax (woodchuck)
Lineage: Eukaryota; Metazoa; Chordata; Mammalia; Rodentia; Sciuridae
Source: RNAcentral